RNAcentral lists this small RNA (1064 nucleotides) under Arabidopsis thaliana (thale cress). RNAcentral's name for it is "ATSL087890". The record is from RNAcentral. Lineage: Eukaryota; Viridiplantae; Streptophyta; Magnoliopsida; Brassicales; Brassicaceae.
AAAAAGGAAAAGGGUCAAACCAUAUCUUACUUAAUAAUCUGACUGAAUGACGAAGAGCUCUUUAUGUGGUCUCACUUUACCACCAUCUGAAAUGCGCGAAACUUCGAUUGGUGGAAGCCAGUCCAUGAAGAUUCUCCCUUUUCCUACGUGCACUUCCCCUCUUUUGGUAAGCAUCCAGUAUCUCAGCAAAUGAACAUUUCUCUAAGCUUAUCCUAUAGCUUAUACGUCGUUUGAAAGCUGCUUCAAGGAUCCAACGAAUAGCUAAGGUUUGUUGACGAUCCCUGGCUACAAUCCCAGGGACAUCAUAAAUAGUACCCGCUACUCCUACUUUUGCUACUUCGCAUAUGGGCUUUAUAUUCUCUACGGCGUCAACCAUAAGUUUGAUUACAUCGCGUUCAGUUCGAGCUGGGCGAUGAAAAGUUUGAUAAACAAUAGCACGAACUCUCGUUCUUUUACCUUCUUUCAUGCGAAAAUUGACCAACUUCUUGAUCAAUAGUUUUUGCUCACCAUCCAAGCCCCCCAUAUAGCUGAAAAUUUCCGAGCAAUUGGAAGCCGCUUUCGAUGACGAGGCCGAUAAAUUUAUAUUACGCAAUCGUUACUGUCCAUCUUUAUCAGCCAACUCCCCAGUUUCUAUCUUUCCUUUUAGAGUUUACCACUCUUCAUAGCUUCUUGAACUUUCUUUAGGGUCUUGCUCCCUGAGUUCCAGAGUCUACACUCUCGCGUCAUAUGGCUCCGCCCCGGAAUCAUUUUAUACCUCUUCUUUUAGUCGAGUUUGUUUCACAACCUCUCCCAACAAGUGGUCAAGUUCCUUUGUACCUUUCCUUUGACCAAGGGGUCCUCGAACCAACCUGUCCUCCCUCAAUCUCCAAGAAUUACCCUCCCACGCUAAAAAAAAGUAGCAUUUCCUGGACGUAGGUAGAGUCAAACUCUUCUAAAUAUAUAGACUGGAUUCCAUUUAGAUAUAAGUCAUCAUAUAUAUAUAUAUAUGAGUUCAGACAUAUCUGAAUCGUCCACGAGGACGAAAUUGACUAUAUCCAUCAUAGAAGAAAGUGGAUUUGGGGGGG